ACAACACAUAUUUAUUCUCAAGCCUUGGAGAAGCUUGCCCCACACAUUCAACAGGUUAGCAUGGAAAGUAAUGGAAAGGGAGUUUUGAUUGAUGGGGUACCUCUACCAUUUGAACCUGGUGAGGUAGGGAGCAAUCAUGAUGAGCUAAUGUCAAGUUUCUUUGCACAACCAGAUGCCCUUGCCUAUGAGAAG
Molecule: non-coding RNA, 192 nt
Organism: Arachis ipaensis
Lineage: Eukaryota; Viridiplantae; Streptophyta; Magnoliopsida; Fabales; Fabaceae
Source: RefSeq, a predicted model, not a curated record